CGAACGGGUGAGUAAUGCGUGACCAACCUGCCCCAUGCUCCAGAAUAGCUCUUGGAAACGGGUGGUAAUGCUGGAUGNUCCAACUUGACGCAUGUCUUGUUGGGAAAGUGUUUAGUGGCAUGGGAUGGGGUCGCGUCCUAUCAGCUUGUAGGCGGGGUAAUGGCCCACCUAGGCUUCGACGGGUAGCCGGCCUGAGAGGGCGGACGGCCACAUUGGGACUGAGAUACGGCCCAGACUCCUACGGGAGGCAGCAGCC
RNAcentral lists this ribosomal RNA (256 nucleotides) under uncultured Gardnerella sp. Its description in RNAcentral is "partial 16S ribosomal RNA". It matches the Rfam family "Bacterial small subunit ribosomal RNA", at positions 99 to 355 of the family's 1533-position model. The record is from RNAcentral. Lineage: Bacteria; Bacillati; Actinomycetota; Actinomycetes; Bifidobacteriales; Bifidobacteriaceae.